UACGUAGGGUGCAAGCGUUAAUCGGAAUUACUGGGCGUAAAGCGUGCGCAGGCGGCUAUGCAAGACAGAUGUGAAAUCCCCGGGCUCAACCUGGGAACUGCAUUUGUGACUGCAUAGCUAGAGUACGGUAGAGGGGGAUGGAAUUCCGCGUGUAGCAGUGAAAUGCGUAGAUAUGCGGAGGAACACCGAUGGCGAAGGCAAUCCCCCUGGGCCUGCACUGACGCUCAUGCACGAAAGCGUGGGGAGCAAACAGG
RNAcentral lists this ribosomal RNA (254 nucleotides) under uncultured bacterium. RNAcentral describes it as "partial 16S ribosomal RNA". It matches the Rfam family "Bacterial small subunit ribosomal RNA", at positions 524 to 776 of the family's 1533-position model. The record is from RNAcentral.